AGAGUUUGAUCCUGGCUCAGAACGAACGCUGGCGGCGCGUUUUAAGCAUGCAAGUCGAACGGCACGAGGCGCAAGCCUCAGAGAGCGGCGGACGGGUGAGUAACACGUGGAUAAUCUGCCCCUAGGUUUGGGAUAGCCUGUGGAAACACGGGGUAAUACCGGAUGUGGUUAUCUACACACAAGUGUAGGUAAAGAAAGGCGCUUUUUGUGUCGCCUAGGGAUGAGUCCGCGGUCCAUUAGCUAGUUGGUGGGGUAAUAGCCUACCAAGGCGACGAUGGAUAGCCGGCCUGAGAGGGUGGACGGCCACAUUAGGACUGAGACACGGCCCAGACUCCUACGGGAGGCAGCAGCUAAGAAUCUUCCGCAAUGGACGAAAGUCUGACGGAGCGACGCCGCGUGAACGAAGAAGGCCGUGAGGUUGUAAAGUUCUUUUCCGGGGGAGGAAUGAUCGUGGAAUUAACUAUCCGCGAGAUGACGUGAACCUGGGAAUAAGCCCCGGCUAACUACGUGCCAGCAGCCGCGGUAACACGUAGGGGGCGAGCGUUGUUCGGAAUUAUUGGGCGUAAAGGGUGCGUAGGCUGUGCAUCAAGUCUGGUGUGAAAUACCCCGGCUCAACUGGGGGGGCGCGCUGGAAACUGUUGUACUUGAGUACAGGAGGGGAAGUUGGAAUUCUAGGUGUAGGGGUGAAAUCUGUAGAGAUCUGGAAGAACACCGGUGGCGAAGGCGGACUUCUGGCCAUGUACUGACGCUGAGGCACGAAGGCGUGGGGAGCAAACAGGUUUAGAUACCCUGGUAGUCCACGCAGUAAACGAUGCACACUAGGGGGGGGGGCGGUUGCCCUCAGUACCGUAGCUAACGGGGUUAAAGUGUGCCGCCUGGGGAGUAUGCUCGCAAGGGUGAAACUCAAAGGAAUUGACGGGGGCCCGCACAAGCGGUGGAGCAUGUGGUUUAAUUCGAUGAUACGCGAGGAACCUUUACCCGGGUUUGACAUGGACUGGAACGCACGUGAAAGCGUGCGGCCCUUUGGGGCUAGUUCACAGGUGCUGCAUGGCUGUCGUCAGCUCGUGCUGUGAAGUGUUGGGUUAAGUCCCGCAACGAGCGCAACCCCUGCCGUCUGUUGCCAUCAAGUGAUGUUGGGGACUCAGGCGGAACUGCCGGUGACAAACCGGAGGAAGGUGGGGAUGACGUCAAGUCAGCAUGGCCUUUAUAUCCGGGGCUACACACGUGCUACAAUGGUCGCAACAGAGAGAAGCAAAGCCGCGAGGUGGAGCAAAACUCAAAAAAGCGGUCUCAGUUCGGAUUGUGGGCUGCUUCCCGCCCUCUUGUAGUCGG
This 1332-nucleotide ribosomal RNA is filed under the name uncultured bacterium. RNAcentral's name for it is "bacterial SSU rRNA". It matches the Rfam family "Bacterial small subunit ribosomal RNA", at positions 8 to 1329 of the family's 1533-position model. The record is from RNAcentral.